AUUGUUUUACACAGCAGAGUUUGUGCUAAUUUAUUACACAAUAUAGAAAGCUACUACAGGGAUCCCUGGGUGGCGCAGCGGUUUGGCGCCUGCCUUUGGCCCAGGGCACGAUCCUGAAGACCUGAGAUUGAAUCCCACAUCGGGCUCCCAGUGCAUGGAGCCUGCUUCUCCCUCUGCCUAUGUCUCUGCCUCUCUCUCUCUCUCUCUCUCUCUCUCUGUGACUAUCAUAAAUAAAAAUAAAAUAAAUUUAAAAAAAGGAGAUCUAAAAUUUCUGGUCACUAUAAAUCAGGUUUCACCCUUAUUUUGGGUAAUAUUUAUUUACCUCAAGAUCCCUCUUUUAUCUUAACUGAGUACAUCUUCAGGGAAUGAAAAUGUUCUCUCUUUUUUAAAAGUACAAGUGGAAAAAGCACUGCAUUAGUUGUUCAGCAGGCCAGGGCUAGAAUCCUGGUUCCACUGUUAACCAAUUCUGUGAUCUGAGACAAAGUAUAGAGCCUCUCCCCUCAAUUUUUCUCUCUCUAGUACAAUUUAAGAAUUUUCAUGCAAAGGCAUUUUUUUUUAAAAAUAUUUUGUUAUUAUUUAUUUAUUCAUGAGAGACACAGACUGAGAGAGAGAGGCAGAGACACAGGCAAAGGAAGAAGCCAGCUCCAUGCAGGGAGCCCGACAUGGGACUCAAUCCCAGGAUCAUGACCUGAGUGGAAGGCAGGUGCCCAACUGCCCAGCCACCCAGGCUUCUCCUGCAAAGGACUUUUGAGAAUAUUUCUUUUGUUUAGAUUAGUUUCACUUAUGUUAGAUGGUGGUUUAUGAUCAGUUAGUAUAAAAUUAUGAUUUUGAGAGGUCUUCACAAUCAGGCUUGUGUCCAUCUUAUAGACUCUAACUCUACCACUCUCCUUCUUUCUUACUAUUCUUCAGCCACAGCAGCUUUGGGGAUUUUUUUUUUCUGCCUCUGGAAUAUAUCAUGUGACCCUUAUCUGAGACUCUGCAUUGACCCCACUUAAUUUUCAGAUGGCCUAGUCUUCCCUGAUCUAUAAGAUGCCAGCCUAAAUGUCAUCUACUUAAAAAAGGCAUUAUCUGUCCACUGGAGCACUGAGUUUCAGGGAUAUUUUUUUCAUAGCAUUUGAAAUUUAGCAUAAGUUAUUUAAUCUAUUUAAUGUUACUAUCUUUCUUCCCUACUAGAACAUAAGCUUCAGAACACCAGGGGCAUUUACCUUUUUUUUUUUUUUUUUCACUCAAAAACCAAGGGUAGCACAAGUCUGACACCAAGUAGAGUAGAAACUCAGUAAUUGUUAGAUUGUAAGUGAAUUUAUUAAUUAGACCCACCAUCUUCAAUAGACUACUUGCCACCAUAAAUAAUAGUUAAUAUUAUCAUUUUAUUAUGGUUUAAUUUUGAGAAAGGAUUGCUGAAUUCCUUAGUAGUCCUUUGCUUUAAAUAGACUGUCAAAGAAAAAUCUCUCAAGUAAGCUUUUCUGAAUCUUUCCAACUUACCAAAAAAUGGCCCCAAUGGAACUGUCUUCCUCUGUGACAGAACCAGUCUAACAAGUUUUGGUUUGACUGAAAGGUGUUCCAGUUUCAGCUACUACAAUUAAGCUGCCUUAGAUGUCUGGGCCUUGAUUUUUAUUUUUCUGGCACAGAAAUUUGCCCUGUAGUCUCUUCAUAACUACAGAAAAAAAUUUCACUCAUGUACUCCAUUUUUAUUUCUUUUCCCCCCUUCUUCCCUUCCUCCAUCUCUUCCUUUUUUUCCCCUUCUUUUCAUUAUUCUUUCCUUAUUUCCUGCCCUCUGUCUUCCUACAUUUAUUACUAACCAGGCAUUGCCCCUAAAAGCUGGAGGUAGAAUCACAAGACAGAGAAAACCUUGCUGUCUUGGAACUCACACUCAAGCAUGGAAGACAGGCAGUAAAUAAGUGAACAGAUAAGUGAGGCAUCUAUGACCCUCUAUUAAUGAAGAGCUUUCCAGGUCAAGGGGGCAGGAAAUGCAAAUGUCCUGAGACAGCAAUAUGCUUAGCAUAUUUGUAAUGGAAAAGGAUAUCAGCCUCUUAAAUGGGGAAGUUGUUGGAAGUGACAUUUGAAGAUUAGCCCACAGUAAGACCAUUGUAGCCUCUAUAUUUUACUCUAAAUACACAGAAAAAGAUUGAAGAGUUUUGACAAGAUAAUGGCUUAACCUGAAUUACAUUUUGACAGGAUUGUUCUGCUUUGUGUGAACCACAGAAUGUAGAGUGUAGAAGAUGGAAGCAGGGAAAGCAGAUGGGGGCUCCUCUUUUGGCCCAGGUGGGAGAUGACGAUAGUUAGGAAUGUAGUGUAAUCAUAAAGAUAGUGAGUCUUGGGAUCUAUUUUCAAGGUGAGGUCAACAGAGUUUGCUUGUAAUUUAGUUACAGUGUGUGAAAAAGAGAAAUCAAGCAUGAUUCUACAGUUUGUUUUUUAGGCAAUGUGGUAAAUAAUAAUGCUAUUCAUUUGGAAAGGGAAGAAUAAAAUUAGGAUAGAAAAUCUAGAGUUCAGUGUUGACAUGUUAAGUGUGAGGUAUAGUCAUAGAGUCAUAGUUUUUUUUUUUUCUUUUUCUUUUUUUUUUUUUUAAGAGUCACAGUUCUAUAUGAAUACAGAGUUCAGAAGAAAGAUCGGGUUCAGCUAUAAAAUUUAAGAGUCCUCUGUGCAACAAUGAUGAUGUUAAAAUCCAUGGCUUGAAUAAAGUCACAAAGGGUCAAAGUGUAUUUGAGAAAAGGCCAGAAUAUUGAUUUGGGAGUGCUCCCAAAUCAGGAAAGAAAAUGAUAUUGAAUAAAAGAGAUUUAGACAAAGAGCCAUUGCAAUUAGAGGUAAAUCAAGAGUGGUUUUCCCUCAUGGUAAGGGAGUAAAUUUGGAAGGUAAAUGCACAAGGAGAGGCCACUUGAUGAAACAUUUUCUUUCUCCGUAGGUUCCAUCUAACCAUGCUGCCUUCCUGCUCACUACACAAUUAUUAUGGCUAAUUUGCCUUCUUGUAGAUUCCAUGUUCACUCCCAAAAUGAUCUGUUGACAAAGGCCCAAUCCUCUGACAACUUUAUCUGACGUAGCUUCUCAUCACAACUCACGUAAGAACAUAAGAUAUCAUUUUAUCAACUGGAUAUAUUAUCUCUUCUAUAAGUCAAGGAUAAUAUUUAUUUAUCUUUGUAACUAAGCCUAUGUUAGUCCAAUAAAAUGAUGCAUUUUAAAGCUCUUUGAACAUUAUACAGUGCUCUGUUAAUGCCAGGAUUCUUUGCUCUUAUUUAUCAAAGAAGCCAAUGGUAGUGAGGAAAGACAGAGAGAAGGAAAUGAUAAAGUUUGGUUUCUUUCCUUUUUGAUUUGGAAUGAAUGACUGGGUAUAUUUAGUUUCUGUUCCUUUUCUUUAACAUGAGUUUUCAACUUUGCUACUCAUAAGUUUAAGUCUUAUAAAGUGUUUCCUGCUGAAAUGCCAUGCUGACUGUUAUUCAGCAGCAAAUAAAUAUUGCUGUCCUCACUAAUUUGAAACAGUAUGAGUUUUAAACCUCUAGCUGUGGGAGAUUUAUUAAGAUUACAGUUUUCAUCACCAUCCCUUCAAGUCCAUCAAGAUAGGUCAAAGC
Molecule: long non-coding RNA, 3560 nt
Filed under: Canis lupus familiaris (dog)
Lineage: Eukaryota; Metazoa; Chordata; Mammalia; Carnivora; Canidae
Description: lncRNA (ENSCAFG00040000847.1)
Source: RNAcentral